GCACAGCUCGCAGUGCCGUGCUCCGCAGGGAGGGCUCGGGCCAUCAGGGCCCAACCCCGCAGCUUCAGGAAACUUCACCUGCAGCUUUGCAAAGCCUCCUCUAUCCCGAGCCCUACCAGACCAGCUCCCGAAAUACAGGCUUGAUAAAAUCGUGCCCCAUGGUUUGGUUCCCCUCAGGUGGAACAGAGUAGAUAAUUUACAGGUUGACAGGAUGAAACUGGCAGGAAAUUGAUGAAACCAGGCCGAACUGUCCUGGCUUUUGUCCUGCUGUAAGCACUCUUCAGCUCCUUGUGGCUGGACAACAGCAAUGGGAAGGUUCCAGGGAAGGAAGCUGCCCUUUUGUUCCCAAGGACAAGGGCAGGAGCCCUUUCCUCCAGUAAUAUUUACUCGAUGGAGGCAGACCAGUCGAGCACCACGAAUGACAGAUGAAUAAGAAGAAUCAGGAAUAACAACUAAGAAUAAAUAUCUCUGCAAACCCUCAGUGUCGUUUGUAGGAGAUAUUCUACACUGACUCAAGAGGAAAAAGAAAGAAGACAGACUGUGACUUAAAAAUGCUCACAACUGGAAUGUUAGUAUCCUUAGCAGGUAAAUAAUUGCACCCUUCAUACUUCCUCAUUUAUGUGUUAAUAGUUGACAAGCAAAAAAAAGAUGUGACAGCACAAUUAAAUGUGUCUGUGUAACACACCAAGGGGUUAUUUCCACUCUUUUUUUAUGUUGAUCAGA
Molecule: long non-coding RNA, 723 nt
Filed under: Ficedula albicollis (Collared flycatcher)
Lineage: Eukaryota; Metazoa; Chordata; Aves; Passeriformes; Muscicapidae
Description: lncRNA (ENSFALG00000028379.1)
Source: RNAcentral